UACGUAGGGAGCAAGCGUUGUUCGGAUUUACUGGGCGUAAAGGGCGCGUAGGCGGCGCGGUAAGUCACUUGUGAAAUCUCUGAGCUUAACUCAGAACGGCCAAGUGAUACUGCAGUGCUAGAGUGCAGAAAGGGCAAUCGGAAUUCUCGGUGUAGCGGUGAAAUGCGUAGAUAUCGAGAGGAACACCUGCGGCGAAGGCGGGUUGCUGGGCCGACACUGACGCUGAGGCGCGAAAGCUAGGGGAGCGAACGGG
This 253-nucleotide ribosomal RNA is filed under the name uncultured bacterium. RNAcentral describes it as "partial 16S ribosomal RNA". It matches the Rfam family "Bacterial small subunit ribosomal RNA", at positions 524 to 776 of the family's 1533-position model. The record is from RNAcentral.